RNAcentral lists this long non-coding RNA (615 nucleotides) under Homo sapiens (human). Its description in RNAcentral is "HSALNT0298333". Lineage: Eukaryota; Metazoa; Chordata; Mammalia; Primates; Hominidae. The record is from RNAcentral.
UUUGUUUUGGAGACGGAGUCUUGCUCUGUCCCUCAGGCUGGAGUGCAGCGGCGCCAUCUCAGCUGAAUGCAACCUCUGCCUCCUGGGUUCAAGAGAUUCUCCUGCCUCAGCCUCCCAAGUAGCUGGGAUUACAGGUGCGUGCCACCACGCCUGGCUAAUUUUUUGUAUUUUUAGUAGAGACAGGGUUUCACCGUGUUAGCCAGGAUGACCUUGAUCUUCUGACCUCGUGAUCCUCCCACCUCAGCCUCCCAAAGUGCUGGGAUUACAGGCGUGAGCCACAGCGCCCGGCCUUCAGCGUGCUUUUUUUUUUAAUGGUUUGCUAUAUUUACAUCUGGUUUCUCCUUCUGAAUGAGAAGGAUGGAGCAAAUGCCCCAGAUGAAGCCUACACGACAUGAGUCAGAGAACUUUGGCCAGGAUGUCUGGGGAAAAAGUUUCCUCUUUCUUCUCUGGGAACUAUCUGGAGAGGGUUGUUUUAACGCUGGAUGUGAACAGCGACUCGUGUAGCCCCAGAAGCCUCUGACAGCCGCGUUGGAAUCAUAAGUUCUCAAAAUGAAGGUUGUGGUCUAGAAAGCAUAUUGUGAUUUGUACAAGAAGCACAUUCCCAUUUUACAAAAG